UAUUAGGUUGGUGCAAAAAGUAAUUGUGGUUUUUGCCAUUAGAAGUAAUGGCAAAAACCGCACUUACUUUUUGCACCAACCUAAUA
RNAcentral lists this microRNA precursor (86 nucleotides) under Gorilla gorilla gorilla (western lowland gorilla). Its description in RNAcentral is "mir-548 microRNA precursor family". It matches the Rfam family "mir-548 microRNA precursor family". Lineage: Eukaryota; Metazoa; Chordata; Mammalia; Primates; Hominidae. The record is from Rfam by way of RNAcentral.